GAAACCUUUUUUUCCCUCCCAGUGUGAUUGGCACAAGUUCACUUCGCAGAGCAGCUCAGCUAAGGAAACGAUUCCCUCAACUGGAGUUUGAAAAUAUUAGAGGCAACCUAAGCACCCGUCUGAAGAAGCUAGAUGAAAAGGAAGACUAUGCUGCCAUUAUUCUGGCUGCAGCAGGCCUCAAACGUAUGGGCUGGGAAAGCCAAAUCAGUCAGAUUCUGUACCCUGAAGAUUGC
Molecule: long non-coding RNA, 233 nt
Organism: Carassius carassius (crucian carp)
Lineage: Eukaryota; Metazoa; Chordata; Actinopteri; Cypriniformes; Cyprinidae
Exons: 3
Source: RefSeq, a predicted model, not a curated record